AGCACUGUAGCACAGCUGGAAGUGCGCCGGUCUCAUAAUUUGUCUGCUCGACAUUUGAGUAAUCCGGAGGUCGCUUGAUCGAGACGAGCCGUUGCUA
Non-coding RNA from Mycena leptocephala, 97 nucleotides. The record is from the annotation of a GenBank genome assembly. NCBI's taxonomy places the organism in Eukaryota, Fungi, Basidiomycota, Agaricomycetes, Agaricales, Mycenaceae.